AGGGAUCAUAAUAUAUCUCACUAUGAGACAGAAUAAAAUCUAUGGGGUUACAUAUAAAAAAAGUUCUUGUCUGAUCAGAUGGAUGAUUAAUGAUUAUAAAUCAUUGAAGGGUAUAAUCAUCAAUAUGAUUGAUGAUUAACUUUAUGCAAAAAUUACAAUUAAGUAAUUUGCUAAGUGUUAAUAAAUUAUAGGAGGAUUAAUUAGCAAUUGGAUUGCUAAUUAGCUUAAUUUGAUUGAGUAAUGAGGUUCGAAUCAAGUCUAAUUGAAUUGGAUUCAGUUUGACUUGGAUUGAAUUUGAUUGGAUCAAGUCUGAUUGGAAGGGAG
RNAcentral lists this long non-coding RNA (324 nucleotides) under Elaeis guineensis (African oil palm). RNAcentral describes it as "long non-coding RNA (EGUI_LNC041096)". Lineage: Eukaryota; Viridiplantae; Streptophyta; Magnoliopsida; Arecales; Arecaceae. The record is from RNAcentral.